This 283-nucleotide long non-coding RNA is filed under the name Elaeis guineensis (African oil palm). RNAcentral describes it as "long non-coding RNA (EGUI_LNC009591)". Lineage: Eukaryota; Viridiplantae; Streptophyta; Magnoliopsida; Arecales; Arecaceae. The record is from RNAcentral.
CUAUGCGAAACCCAAGGGAAACGGGCAUCGGUCCAUGCUUCCCUGCCAGUGGUAUGUCGGUCCAUGUGGGCCAUGUGAAACAGCGGCUAGGCACGCCUUUUGGGCCGGGGCCGUGCGCUGGGCCGCGCCCAUGUGCGCCCACCUGGGCCAAACACCCGUGGCCAACCCGUGUGCACCCACAUGCGCCUGGACUGGCCUGCAUGCUGGCCUAGGCCACGCCAGUCCAUGGGCCCCCUCUGAUGACCUAUGGGCCGUACCAGCAUGUUGCUGGUCUUUUUUUGUG